CUCGCCCCGCCCCGGCCCGGCCGGCUCCACGGACGCGCUCGUGCUCUCCUAGUUCGCCUUUGCGCAUGUGCAGUUGCCUAACGACUGAACUCCGAGGAACGAAGCAGAUAGGGUCUCAGUUUGUUGCCCAGCUGGUCUGGAACUCCUGGCUUCAAGCAAUCCUUCUGCCUUGGCCUCCUAAAGUGCUGGAAUUACAGGCAUGCCCAGGCCUUUAUUAUUUUGAGGCCUUUCUCCAUUGUGGACUUUUUGAUGCUAAAAGACAUUGGUGACACCUUCAGGUAAAGGCUUUCAACAUUCAUUGUAUUCAUAAGGCCUUUUCCAGUGUGGCAGAUCUGCUUGAGGCCCAACUCUAUCAUCACCUAACUCUCUGACCCAAAAAAAGAAGAAUGAGGAAUGCAACCACACCUACGUGGACUUUUUCACAAGAUAAUGCCUGCCUGCCUCUCAGGCUCAUUCAAAUUCGAAAGGGAAUCAUCUAUGUUUUGGAAACCAAGGAAUGUACACCUAACUCUAUCUACAGAAGUUGGGAUGGACCGUAUGAGGAAGCGAAUGUGAGCUAAGGCCAUAACAAGUAUCAUUCGCUAGAGGAGAAAGAAAGAGAGACAGGGUCUUGCCAUGUUGCCCAGACUGGUCUUGAACUCCUGGACUCAAGAGAUUCUCCUGCCUUGACCUCCCAAAGUGCUGGGAUUACAGGUGUUUGUUUGUUUGUUUCUUGGAGAUGGAAUCUGGCUCUGGCAUGAUCUCAGUUCACUGCAACCUCUGCCUCCCGGGUUCAAGCGAUUCUUCUGCCUCAGCCUCCUAAGUAGCUGGGACUACAGAGACUGGGUCUCACUAUGGUACACAGGCUGGUCUCGAAUUCCUGAGCUCAAGUGAUUCCCCCACCUGGGCCUCUCAAAGCAUUGGGAUUACAGAUAUGAGCUACCAUGUUCCACCAAGAGCUGCUGCUUUUUAUUAAUAUUUGAAACCACCUUUUUUUUUUUUUAAUUUCAUGGAUCAUAGGAAACAAUAAAACCACCUCCUGGUUCCACUUCCACGUACCUAGCACAAUGCCUGGCACCUUCUCAAACUCCAAUAAAUACUGGAUGAAGGAAAGUUUAUGAUCUUAACUGUGAUUUCUGUUUGGAUUCAGUUCAUGUAAAAAUGGAGGAACCAGCCAUGAAUUCUCAAAUAAGUUUCAGUCUGUGGCAAGCACAGGUCAGGGAGAGGCAUCAGGGGAAACCACUGAAAACAUGUCUGGAGAUCAUUGUAAAAAAAAGAGAAGUGCCUAUAACUGAAAGAGUGCCUGGCCCCAGAAUAUUUUGUAUAAUGAAAAUGUUAUAGGGUUCUGGUCUCUGCUUCUUGAAGAUAAAAUGGAGCUAGAAAAGAUCCAGAGGACACUAAAAAUAAUUAAGGGCAGAAGUAAUCAUGUAAAAUUUUUUAAAAGCCAUUGCAAAAAAGUUCAUCUUAAACUCAUGAAGAAUAGCAUGAUUUUCUCAAAUCCUGAAAAAAAUUAAAAAAAGGCCACAUUCCUUGAAGCCUGACCUUCCAACAAAAAUAAAAGGAAGUAGCUCUGUGAAUAGCAUGUGCUAAAAUAUACAAUCCAUUACUCCAAGAAGCAGUGGCUACAGAAAGUAAACACUACCAUACAGGGCUGGGCUCAGGGUCAAGCCAGCCAGGCAGUUGCCGAAGGUGCCUCGCAGAGCCUCAAAUAAAUUAUAAUGUGGUUGGUGUUUGUUAACUUACAUUUCCACAUACGGCUUCUUACAAGUUUACAUCUAUAAAAUUUCCCUGGCACUGUUGAAACAAAUGAUGACUGUGAGUAGAAUUUAAAGAAAAGAGGCCAGGCAUGGUAGCUCAUGCCUGUAAUCCCAGCACUGUAGCAGGCUGAGGUGGGAGGAUCACCUGAGGUCAGGAGUUCAAAACCAGCCUGGUCAACAUGGUGAAACCCCAUCUCUACUAAAAGUAAAAAAAUUGGCUGGGCAUGGUGGCUCAUGCCUGUAAUCCAAGUGCUUUGGAGGCCAAGACGGGCGGAUCACCUGAGGUCAGGAGUUCAAGACCAGCCUGACCAACAUGAUGAAACCCCAUCUUAAAAAAAAAAAAAGUACAAAAAUUAGUUGAGCAUGGUGGCUGCUACUCAGGAGGCUGAGGCAAGAGAAUCACUUGAAUCCAGGAGGCAGAGCCAAGAUUAUGCCAUUGUACUGCAGCCUGGAAGACAAGAGUGAAACUCUGUCUCAAAAAAAAAAAAAAAAAGAAUUUAAAGAAAGGAAAAACAAAAAUCUCAUCAUGUGAAUUCAUCUGGUUUGGAAUAUUUCUGAAUUGUACACAUAAGCAGUCGCAUCAACUAAAGCUCUGAAUUUAACAAUGAAUGGAUGGCCUUGGUGCUGUUUACCAGAAGCAGCAAGUGAUUUAUUAACUGCAUUUUAAUCUCUUUAAUAUACCUAACAAAAAGUUAUCUUGUUCCAAACAAAAUCACAAAAGGAAGCUAGACGGAGAACAAGAACCACAGAGAAAUGGGAAUUAUUGUGCAAGGUUUUUUU
Callithrix jacchus (white-tufted-ear marmoset) is the source of this 2516-nucleotide non-coding RNA. The record is from RefSeq and is a predicted model, not a curated record. NCBI's taxonomy places the organism in Eukaryota, Metazoa, Chordata, Mammalia, Primates, Cebidae.